GAUGAACGCUGGCGGCGUGCCUAAUACAUGCAAGUCGAGCGAACAGACGAGGAGCUUGCCUCUCUGACGUUAGCGGCGGACGGGUGAGUAACACGUGGAUAACCUAUCUUUUAGACUGGGAUAACUUCGGGAAACCGGAGCUCAUAUCGGAUAAUAUAUUGAACCGCAUGGUUCAAUAGUGAACGACGGUUUUGCUGUCACUUAUAGAUGGAUCCGCGCCGCAUUAGCUAGUUGGUAAGGUAACGGCUUACCAAGGCGACGAUGCGUAGCCGACCUGAGAGGAUGAUCAGCCACACUGGAACUGAGACACGGUCCAGACUCCUACGGGAGGCAGCAGUGGGGAAUCUUCCACAAUGGGCGAAAGCCUGACGGAGCAACGCCGCGUGAGUGAUGAAGGUCUUCGGAUCGUAAAACUCUGUUAUUAGGGAAGAACAGAUGUAUAUGUAACUAUGCACGUCUUGACGGUACCUAAACAGAAAGCCACGGCUAACUUCGUG
This 497-nucleotide ribosomal RNA is filed under the name uncultured bacterium. RNAcentral's name for it is "partial 16S ribosomal RNA". It matches the Rfam family "Bacterial small subunit ribosomal RNA", at positions 28 to 507 of the family's 1533-position model. The record is from RNAcentral.